GAGGAGAGCACCCGGUCUAGGUUCUACCUUGUACUGGGUCUCGUCGCCAUGACGGAGAGAGAUGCGCGUCGUGUGCCCUUCUCGGGUGCACCGCCUUUUCUUUGCUCGAAUCUUUUUUUCUGGGGGAACGAGAUGUCCUUCACUGGACGUCUCGAGGAACCAGGACGAUUACCUUGAGAAAAAUAGAGUGUUCAAAGCAGGCUUCACACAUUGAUGCGCUUGGAUACGUUAGCAUGGAAUAAUAAAAUAGGACUUUGGUUCUAUUUUGUUGGUUUUAAGGACCAAUGUC
RNAcentral lists this ribosomal RNA (289 nucleotides) under uncultured fungus. RNAcentral's name for it is "partial small subunit ribosomal RNA". The stretch from base 96 to 289 matches the Rfam family "Eukaryotic small subunit ribosomal RNA", at positions 679 to 864 of the family's 1831-position model. Lineage: Eukaryota; Fungi. The record is from RNAcentral.